Molecule: ribosomal RNA, 395 nt
Filed under: uncultured bacterium
Lineage: Bacteria
Description: bacterial SSU rRNA
Rfam family: Bacterial small subunit ribosomal RNA
Source: RNAcentral
GUGUCAGCAGCCGCGGUAAUACGUAGGGGGCAAGCGUUGUCCGGAUUUACUGGGCGUAAAGAGCGCGUAGGCGGGUAGGAAAGUCCGGUGUGAAAUCCCACGGCUCAACCGUGGAAGGUCGCUGGAAACUGCCUAUCUUGAGGGCGACAGAGGGAAGUGGAAUUGCUGGUGUAGCGGUGAAAUGCGUAGAUAUCAGCAGGAACACCCAUGGCGAAGGCAGCUUCCUGGGUCGCAACUGACGCUGAGGCGCGAAAGCGUGGGGAGCGAACGGGAUUAGAUACCCCGGUAGUCCACGCCGUAAACGAUGGUCACUAGGUGUAUGCGGUAUCGACCCCGCAUGUGCCGCAGCUAACGCAAUAAGUGACCCGCCUGGGGAGUACGGCCGCAAGGUUGAA